RNAcentral lists this ribosomal RNA (270 nucleotides) under uncultured archaeon. RNAcentral's name for it is "partial 16S ribosomal RNA". It matches the Rfam family "Archaeal small subunit ribosomal RNA", at positions 477 to 747 of the family's 1478-position model. The record is from RNAcentral.
CAGCACCUCAAGUGGUCAGGAUGAUUAUUGGGCCUAACGCAUCCGUAGCCGGCGCUGUAAGUUUUCGGUUAAAUCUGUACGCUCAACGUACAGGCUGCCGGGAAUACUGCAGCGCUAGGGAGUGGGAGAGGUAGACGGUACUCGGUAGGAAGGGGUAAAAUCCUUUGAUCUAUUGAUGACCACCUGUGGCGAAGGCGGUCUACCAGAACACGUCCGACGGUGAGGGAUGAAAGCUGGGGGAGCGAACCGGAUUAGAUACCCGAGUAGUCC